ACGGAGGGGGUUAGCGUUGUUCGGAAUUACUGGGCGUAAAGCGCGCGUAGGCGGACUAGUCAGUCAGGGGUGAAAUCCCGGGGCUCAACCCCGGAACUGCCUUUGAUAUGCUAGUCUUGAGUUCGAGAGAGGUGAGUGGAAUUCCGAGUGUAGAGGUGAAAUUCGUAGAUAUUCGGAAGAACACCAGUGGCGAAGGCGGCUCACUGGCUCGAUACUGACGCUGAGGUGCGAAAGUGUGGGGAGCAAACGGAUUAGAGUACCCGGGUAGUCC
RNAcentral lists this ribosomal RNA (271 nucleotides) under uncultured bacterium. RNAcentral's name for it is "partial 16S ribosomal RNA". It matches the Rfam family "Bacterial small subunit ribosomal RNA", at positions 525 to 796 of the family's 1533-position model. The record is from RNAcentral.